AUUGAACGCUGGCGGCAUGCCUUACACAUGCAAGUCGAACGGCAGCACGGGAGCAAUCCUGGUGGCGAGUGGCGAACGGGUGAGUAAAGUAUCGGAACGUGCCCAGUCGUGGGGGAUAACGUAGCGAAAGUUACGCUAAUACCGCAUACGAUCUAUGGAUGAAAGCGGGGGAUCGCAAGACCUCGCGCGAUUGGAGCAGCCGAUAUCAGAUUAGGUAGUUGGUGGGGUAAAGGCUCACCAAGCCGACGAUCUGUAGCUGGUCUGAGAGGACGACCAGCCACACUGGGACUGAGACACGGCCCAGACUCCUGCGGGAGGCAGCAGUGGGGAAUUUUGGACAAUGGGCGAAAGCCUGAUCCAGCCAUGCCGCGUGCAGGAUGAAGGCCUUCGGGUUGUAAACUGCUUUUGUACGGAACGAAAAGGUUUGGCCUAAUAAGCUGAGCUCAUGACGGUACCGUAAGAAUAAGCACCGGCUAACUACGUGCCAGCAGCCGCCGCAG
RNAcentral lists this ribosomal RNA (500 nucleotides) under uncultured bacterium. RNAcentral describes it as "partial 16S ribosomal RNA". It matches the Rfam family "Bacterial small subunit ribosomal RNA", at positions 30 to 523 of the family's 1533-position model. The record is from RNAcentral.